ACUGACUGGCUAUAUAUUUUCUAUCAGAAGGGUGCCACUUCCCUAGUCUCUGGUGCUCCCUCAUCUAUUCAUGGCUGGAAGAGCCGUUUCUUUUUUAUUUUUUGUACUUCGAUAUAUGACUUGGAGCUUUCAAAUUGGGGUCGGAUCGAAGCCUUAUCUUUGAAGCCCAUAGAGUUAAGUGUCGAGGAAAAGAGAGGACUUAGGGAUCUCCUGGAUUAUAAUACUCCUCAUCUG
RNAcentral lists this long non-coding RNA (234 nucleotides) under Elaeis guineensis (African oil palm). RNAcentral's name for it is "long non-coding RNA (EGUI_LNC012390)". Lineage: Eukaryota; Viridiplantae; Streptophyta; Magnoliopsida; Arecales; Arecaceae. The record is from RNAcentral.